Tachysurus fulvidraco (yellow catfish) is the source of this 3248-nucleotide RNA transcript. It is a transcript of the gene named neuronal guanine nucleotide exchange factor, with no coding region annotated. The transcript is spliced from 17 exons. Lineage: Eukaryota; Metazoa; Chordata; Actinopteri; Siluriformes; Bagridae. The record is from RefSeq and is a predicted model, not a curated record.
AGGGAGGGGGAGGAGGUGAGACUGACAGAGUUAGACAGGAAGAACAGAUUUACUGACUAAUGACUCGGGCAGGAGAGCAGACAGAUUCGGACACGACACAUAAACACAGACCGAGAAAAGGACAGGUGAAGACUGUGUAACUGGCUGUUUAACACACUUACACACACAACAGAUGGAGUUUCUGCCGUUCAGAUCUGAUGCCCCUCACGGUUAGAGGGCAGUGUAAUGGCAAUUGCAGCCCUAUUCCGGGGCAAGUGGGGGCAGAAGGGUCAUGUCCUCAGUCCUAAAGCCCCCCCUGCAGCCCCACUUCCCCAUCACUGUGAUGAUGAAGAUGACGAUGAUGAGCGGUUGAACACGCGAGUGCCAAUUAGACGCAACUCUCGUUUUUACCGUUCCAUGAGGAAGAAAAGACACUCACAAGGACAAGCAAAUGAACAAGAAAGCCCCACCCACUCACCCAGAGCACCACGUGACUCCAGCAGGACCAGAGCUGCAAUCAUGUCUCCACCAUCAUACACACAACGCCCUCCAUUGCCUACACAAUAUGGAGCAGCGUUGCCAGGCAACGGGAGCACCAAAGAAGGAGGCGCUUCCAGUUGGUCACCGUUAGAGACAGGAGAUUGGCGACUCAGAGGAGAGAUGGAGGAGCUGAGCACACACACGAGCCGAGCCUGCAGCAUGCAGGACUCUGAUACAUACACACACACUCACACACAACAUAUGGUCAGCACACACAACAACACAAACAGGAUGGUGACAAAGGGAGAGACGGCACAGGAGAACUUUAGCCACAGUUUAAACAUAGUGAAGAAUAUCGCAUUCCUGUAUCAGGAGUAUCGGGACUCUUCAGAACAGCAGGAAAUUGAACAGAGGAGGCAGAGAGAUGCUUUUCCUGAGAAAGGCCUACAGGAAGGGUCAGGAGUCAAUACAGGGUCAGGGGUUACAGUGGGGUCAGGGGUCACAGCUCCUGCACUUCAGCUGCAGUUGCGAAACUCGUCUCGCUCUCUGACUUUAUGGCAGAAUCUCGAGGCUGUACAGGAGAGUGGCCUUUUACACACACUCUCACAACGAGAGGUUAUACUGCAGGAGGCAAUGUUUGAGUUGGUGACAUCCGAAGCGUCGUAUUAUAAAAGUCUGGAGCUUUUGGAAUCUCAUUUCCUUCAGAACCCACUGCUCAUUAACACACUCAGCCAAUCAGACAUGCACUUCCUGUUCUCCAACAUCGCUGAGGUCAUGAAGGCGAGCGAAAGGUUCUUGAUGGAUCUGGAACACCGGAUUGAGGAGUCGCUGCAGAUCUCUGAUGUUUGUGACAUUGUUCAUCAACAUGCUGUUAACCAUUUUGACGUCUUCAUCAGUUACGUAAUCAAUCAGGUUUAUCAGGAGAAGAACUACAGACGCAUUCUACAGGAGAACUCUGUGUUUAAGGAGAACAUGGCUAUGCUGGAGAAUCAACCUAAAGUUAGAGGUCUGUCAUUCACCUCGUUCCUGAUUCUCCCCUUCCAGCGAAUCACACGACUUAAACUGCUGGUGCAGAACAUUCUGAAGAAGGUGGAGGAGAACACAGACAGAGAGAGAAAUGCUAUAAAGGCCCAUCAGGAGCUUGAGCGGAUUGUGAAGGAGUGUAAUGAAGGUGUAAAGAAGAUGAGCCGCACUGAGGAGCUGAUCAGCAUCGAGAAAACACUGGAGUUCAAAUCGAAGUCAGUGCCAGUGAUAUCUCACUCUCGAUGGCUCCUGAAGAAGGGCGAGGUUCUGCAGAUGUCCGGACCGAAGAGUACUCGCACUAUGCGAAGCCGAAAACUGUUCCAUCCCCUUUACCUGUUUCUCUUCAAUAACCUGCUGCUCAUUACCAAGCGCAGCUCCAGUGGGGAGAAGUUUCAGGUGUUGGACUCAUGUAGUCGCUCCAUGUUGAGGACAGAGGACAUGGAGGAUCAGGGACAGGUACUGGCAUUUACAUUUGUGCUCAAACUGCUGGAAAAUCAAGAGGAUCGUCCAAUUAGCUACAUGCUAAAGACCAACAGCAUGAGUGAGAAACUGCGCUGGAUGUGCGCGCUCACCCCAAACCGCAGAACACGAUUCCUCUCAGCCAGCGCACACACACCAGGUACACACACACCAGAUUCCCCACAGGUGCAGUGUAUUCAGUCGUACUCAGCUCAGGAGCCUGAUGAACUGUCAGUUGAGAUGGCUGACAUUCUGCUUGUACUUGAAGAAACGAAUGAUGGCUGGAUGAUGGGUGAGCGUCUGCAUGAUGGAGAACGUGGCUGGUUCCCUUGCCGCGUGGUGGAGGACAUAAAGAGCGCUGAUAUACGAGCUCAGAACCUGCGGGAGUGUGAAAGGAUCCAGCAAGCCCAGGGUGGAGGUGGAGCCUCCAGAGGGCGUUGGACCCCCAAAAACACAUCCUACACACCCACCUGGACUGACCAAUCAGAGCAGGAGUUCUGAGCCACACCCCAGACAAACACCACCACUGCAUCAACCUGGGUUAUGUAACCUGAAUCAAAUAAACUUGUGGAGAUCAUGGGGUCAAAGGUCAAAAACAUCAAUUAUGUCUUCAUUUACUUCCUGUAAUGACAAAUCAACAUGGAUGUAGAUCAGGAACAGCAUCUCUGCCAUGAGUGUGUUAAUUGGCUAGCAUGCUGUGACACAGAGAGGGACGACCAAUCCCUGAGCAGCCUCACUUCUCUAUGGUUCUCACAAUUAGUUGGUUAAUUACUGCACACCCAAAUGUCAGUGACACACUUUAUUCAUAGAGACAAGGGGAAGAUGGCAAGGCAAAUUAAUGCAUAUGUGUUUUGCUGCUUGUCUUAAAUCUGUUGUUGUUUACGCCGCAUGACAACUCGCCACAGUAUCGCUGACAGUGAACAAAAUAAAAAAAACUCAGGAGUUAUGAAUGUGCUCAGUCACACAAGCUCAGCUCUACCCUUUGUGGGAAAGAGGUGUGUGUGUGUGUGUGUGUGUGUGUGUGUGUGUGUGUGUGUGUGUGUGUGUGUGUGUGUGUGUGUGUGUGUAUGAACCUGUUUGCUGUUUGGAAUGUUGUUUAAAACCGGACAAUUGAGGAAUGCAGGUUUUGCAUGUCCUGUUGAGAGCUUAAUCCAAUAAACAACCAGUUUUACAGUAAGUGCUUCCUUAAACAGAAAGCUCAUGCAAUUUGUAGUGUGUGUGUGUGUGUGUGUGUGUGUGUGUGUGUGUGUGUGUGUGUGUGUGGCAGGCAAGUCUGGAGGAGAACCGGGAGCUGAUUGAUGGGAUCA